CAUCCAACAGGAUAAUUCUGACAAAAUAUAAUUUCAUUUCCUGAAGUUUCCCUAGGAGUUUAAAUUCCAGUCAGUCACUAUGGAUGUUGACUGAAUCAGACAUCCUUUGAUGACUGCCUCCCUUCUUUCAAAUGCUCAGCCAUUACCAUGGUUUCUUGCUUUCCCAAAUAAAAUAUUUUCACCAGAAUUCUUUUUUUUUUAAUUUUUUAUUUUUAUUUUUGAGAGAGAGAGAGAGAGAGACAGAGAGAGAGAGAGAGAGAGCAUGAGUGGGGGAGGAGCAGAGACAGAGGGAGACACAGAAUCCAAAGCAAGCUCCGGGCUCUGAGCCGUCAGCACAGAGCCCAACAUGGGGCUCGAACUCACAGACUGCAAGACCAUGACCUGAGCCAAAGUCAGACACUUAACCAACUGAGCCACCCAGGUGCCCCCAAAAUUCUUGUCUUAGAGAUGGCUUCUUCAAUGACCCAAACCAAGACACUUUAUAGCACAUCAUACACCUUCCUAAAUAAAGCUGUGACUGACCUUCAGUACUUUUUUAAAGUAUUGUAAGCCUCUGAAAAGGAGAAAAAAAUGCCAUGGUCCUUAAAUGCUGUUUUUAUGAUUUAAAAAGCAAAGUGAAAUAAAGUGAAUACAUUUUAUAUUCAAUUGUACAUUAUCAUGAAUUGCUAUUAUCUUUUUAAAAAUCAUUUGACAGAUCAUUUGAAUAAUCUCUGGGAAAGGCACCUGGGUUGCUCAGCUGGUUAAGCAUCAAACUCUUGAUUUUGGCUCAGAUGAUGAUCUCACGAUUCAUGGGGAUUGAGCCCUGUGUUGGGUUCCACGGCUGACAGCACAAAGCCUGCUUGGAAUUCUCUCUCUCCUUUUCUCUCUGCCCCUCCCCCCACUUCUGCAUUCUCUGUCUCUCUCUGUCUCUCUGUCUCUCUGUCUCUCUCUCUCAGAAAUAAAUACACUUUAAAAAAGAAGAAUAUCUGGUAAAUGGAAACAAUAAAAUGUAUAAAACACACUAUACCUAAAACAAGAUCCAGAACAAAGCAAAGCAACCAACAUAUUCUCAUGAAGCAAAGCUUGAAAAAGUCUGACUUGAGAUUUGAAGUGACUGGCUUUAUCAACACUUUGGCAAAUUUUGUAUUGGUCAAUCAGAAAAUAAUAUCUCCAGGCUUUGUAGAAUCUCUACAAAUGUGCAAGUUCUCUAACUACAAAUGUGCAAGUUCCUGA
Molecule: long non-coding RNA, 1212 nt
Filed under: Felis catus (domestic cat)
Lineage: Eukaryota; Metazoa; Chordata; Mammalia; Carnivora; Felidae
Description: lncRNA (ENSFCAG00000041683.2)
Source: RNAcentral